GUGCACUUCUGCAAUUGGUUCACAGCCCAAAUCCUCCUCCCCAUCAGAAUCAGCCAUCUCCUCACACUCGAACUCUACGUGUUCUUCAGUUUCUUCAUCAGAGUCGCUCAACUCUUCUUGUUCCAUCACAAUCUCUGGGUGAGACCGGUCUCCUAGAUCAUCCAUAUUGCAACCACUGUCAUUAUUGCUUGAGACAGCUGAUGCAUCAGCAAUUGAAACAAGGUUGCUCUGAAGUGGGCAAUUUGAACUCUG
Molecule: unclassified non-coding RNA, 252 nt
Filed under: Hevea brasiliensis (rubber tree)
Lineage: Eukaryota; Viridiplantae; Streptophyta; Magnoliopsida; Malpighiales; Euphorbiaceae
Source: RNAcentral